AAUCGAAGCAGUGAACUUAAGCCCCAGUAAACGGCGGCCGUAACUAUAACGGUCCUAAGGUAGCGAAAUUCCUUGUCGGGUAAGUUCCGACCCGCCCGAAAGGCGUAACGAUUUGGGCACUGUCUCAACAACAGACUCGGUGAAAUUGUAAUUCCGGUGAAGAUGCCGGAUACCUGCGACAGGACGGAAAGACCCCCUGGAGCUUUACUGUAGCUUGACCUUGGGUCUUGGUCCUACACCUGU
Molecule: ribosomal RNA, 243 nt
Filed under: Clostridioides difficile
Lineage: Bacteria; Bacillati; Bacillota; Clostridia; Peptostreptococcales; Peptostreptococcaceae
Description: partial 23S ribosomal RNA
Rfam family: Bacterial large subunit ribosomal RNA
Source: RNAcentral